Molecule: long non-coding RNA, 289 nt
Filed under: Elaeis guineensis (African oil palm)
Lineage: Eukaryota; Viridiplantae; Streptophyta; Magnoliopsida; Arecales; Arecaceae
Description: long non-coding RNA (EGUI_LNC006136)
Source: RNAcentral
UUAUUUAAUUAUCUUUUAUUUAUUAAAAAUUUGAUGCUCUCUAAUCUAUUUUAAAGGUAAUUGAGAGUUUGGAUUCAUAUGAUUCAAAUUGGACUCAAAUCGGAUCAGAUUUGAGUGAACUAGGCAAUUAGCUCUCAUUCUAGUAUGAACUACUUAUUCAUGAAGGGAUCAAAUGCAACCCUUCUAAUCAAGAGCUCAGAUUAGAAGAUAACCUACUACAUAGAACCAAGUGUGAACAUGACUUAAAAAUCAAGGGAUGAGAAGCAAUGCUCCAAGAUCCAAUGGCCAU